AACGAACGCUGGCGGCAUGCCUAACACAUGCAAGUCGAACGAGACCUUCGGGUCUAGUGGCGCACGGGUGCGUAACGCGUGGGAACCUGCCCUUAGGUUCGGAAGAACUCCCCGAAAGGGGUGCUAAUACCGGAUAAUGUCUUCGGACCAAAGAUUUAUCGCCUUUGGAUGGGCCCGCGUUGGAUUAGCUAGUUGGUAGGGUAAAAGCCUACCAAGGCGACGAUCCAUAGCUGGUCAGAGAGGAUGAGCAGCCACACUGGGACGGAGACACGGCCCAGACUCCUACGGGAGGGAGCAGUGGGGAAUAUUGGACAAUGGGCGAAAGCCUGAUCCAGCACUGCCGGGUGAGUGAUGAAGGCCUUAGGGUUGUAAAGCUCUUUUACCCGGGAUGAUAAUGACAGUACCGGGAGAAUAAGCUCCGGCUAACUCCGUG
This 433-nucleotide ribosomal RNA is filed under the name uncultured bacterium. RNAcentral describes it as "partial 16S ribosomal RNA". It matches the Rfam family "Bacterial small subunit ribosomal RNA", at positions 29 to 507 of the family's 1533-position model. The record is from RNAcentral.